Silurus meridionalis is the source of this 9239-nucleotide long non-coding RNA. RefSeq lists it as uncharacterized. NCBI's taxonomy places the organism in Eukaryota, Metazoa, Chordata, Actinopteri, Siluriformes, Siluridae. The transcript has 3 exons. The record is from RefSeq and is a predicted model, not a curated record.
UGCAUGCUAAAAAUACCACCUUUCCCUUGGCUGCAUAAUGCUGCGAGGCAGAUGCAGUUCCUUUAGUCCUGAUAGAGAUGUACUGCGAUCCAGACGCACUGGCAGGUGACCAUGGUAACCCGAUUGUAUCUGUGUAUGUGUGUCUGAACGAGCCCUAAAGCUCAUGCAAACAGCAGCAUGUCGAGGCCAGGCUCUCCUGGGGCCCGAACUGAAAUCAGCCUUGACGUGAGCCAUCCGUCUCCACUCCAUGAUCUUUCUAGAAGUGCACUGCUGACAUCUUCACAAGAACGUCCACUAGCUUGGAGAGGACAAUAGUUUCUGAAUGUUGCUUCUGGGCAUGCUGUAGGCCACAGAAAAGCAGGACUAAAGCAAGACUGGAUGACACUCUGGAGACCUUCUGGCAGAUGUCACAGAGACAUGUGAUGGCUGGAGACGCACAUUAGAAACACAAGAGCUAGGAAACACAAGUGUGCAUCCUUGGAUCAUAAACAUGACACAUGAUGCUUCAAAACCGAGAUUAUUUUUUCCCCUUUUAUCUUUGUCUGUGGUAAAGGUAUACAUCUACUCUAUAUGUUGUAAUCUAUUUAACAAAAUAUUCAUCUUAAUUUGAAUUUUAAACCAGAAGUGGCCAUGGCCUUGCUAGAAAUGGUAACAUUAUCAGAAUGAUUGUGCAGUUUUCCUCACAUGAUUACUCAAAUUUAUAAUUAUUCUCAGCUAUUAAUGUGCACAAGACUGUUUUUAAUCCCGCUCCAGCAAUUUGCUUGCACCUUCCAUUAAUCUUUUAAUACAUUUAUUUAUGUACUUUUGUAAAUAAAUUUACUAUUUCUGCAAAACAAAAACAAAUUACUAACCUAAUUUAAACCAAAAUGACAAUGGCCAAGCAGUUACAAUGCUGCAGUUGCAGAGCUGCAGACUCGUUAGCAAAAAAACAUCUUUAAUACAGUCAAUUUACCUAGUAUUAAUUGCAUUAUAAUAACCUUAUUAUAAUAAACCAAAUGUUUCUUGCUUGUUUUAAGCUUAAAGCUUCUUCUAGCUACAAGACAAAACCACCAGAAUGAGAAAAUACAAAACAGCAAAAAAGCAACUAAAACAUGAUUACUAAUCUUAUAUGGUAUGUGAUAUAUUAUUAUAUCAUGAUAUAGACAAAGAAAAUUUCCCCUCUAUUCAAGAUAUUUUCACUUAGGUUUUUUGUAGUGCAGAGAUUACUGUGGUCUCUAGUAGAAUCUCAUAUCUGACAUUUUAAUUUUGACUGUUUGUGGGCAUCCAGGUCCUGAUACACAUCUGUAAUUUUAACCUUCGAGAGCCUGUCGGGAAACUUUCUGGAAAAAGAAAUUGUCUUGUAUUUAUAUCUACAUCCUUAUCUGUUUAGACUAAAUCUUUUUGUUUAUCAUGAAUAAUGAUAGUAAUGUGUAAUACACAUACUAAUAUUUCCUCCUAAUUAUGAAUGAGUUUUAAGUCAUGCAUACUGCAUACCGUAUGUGUGUGUACUGCAUACACAACCUAACUGACUACACUUUCUAUAAAAGAUAAGGAAGAAAAAACCUUUAGUCCACACCACUGUUUUUUUUUAAAUGAGAUACGUACCCUUCUUCAAUUUUAAAGGACAUUGCACUUGUCUAAAUGAAUGCUUCCUGCUCAUGCAGGAAGUAAAAUACAGCAAUUAGCAUGCUGCCUCUCCACAUGUCUCGUAGCUAAAGAUAAGACGUGCUGGCAGCACAGCAGGCCUCUAAUUCCCUCAUUCAGUUGUCUCUGGUCUCACUGAUUAUGGAUCUAUCCUGUAACUUAACCUGCAUCUUUCUCCCAGCAAGACAGCCGUCCAAUGAACAGCCUUUCCUCCACACACAUCUCUUCUUCCUUUCUUUCUUCCCAAACAACUUCCUUUCAGCUGCUCAUGCUUUGAAACCCGGCUACGCUUCACAUCUGGCAAAAACAAUCCCGAGCGGCUUUAAACAACAACAACGAAGAAGAAGCAGCAUGAUGCUCUUGAAACGCUAUCAAGCUACGAGCAUAGAUGUUUCGGCGAAUAUAUGCUGGAGAGACAUGGCGGUAUCUUUAAGGAGGAGGCUGAGGUGAAAAUCAUAGCAUGGCCCAAGGCAGCAACACCACAACACACGGAAACAUUUUGCCCCCUGAUCUCUGCACCCUGAGAAUGAGUGGUGGGACGCUCCAGGGCAAGGACGGCUCUGCAGGAGGAAAAGUAUGGAAAGGUCACACUUAAGGUUUCCUCUGCAUCUUGUUCUUCCUUCCUUUAUCUACAUUUCUUCAAUUUUUCAUCUUGUCCAUCCUGAUAGGGUUCAAAUAGAAAAAAUUAAUAAACAAAAAAAUAUAUAUUUUUAAACAGGGAAAUAUCUCUAAGGAAGUGUUCACUGAUUUGAAUAACAGCAUCCCGAAGAAAUGUGCAAAAAAAAAUGCUACACAGAAAUUAUGCAAUAAAUCAGGUAAGACAUUUUUUGUAUCUAACAUAAAAAUAAUCGCCUUCUUCAAUGUCUCAAGACAAAGAUUUUAAAUUAACAUUCUGAUCUGGUAUAUAUUACAGUAAUCAUGUUUUCAUUUCCAUUCCUAGUAGAAUAUCAUUUGGAGACCAUCCAAAGAGAUCCCCUCUGGUGAAGGAAAACCACAUUAUUGGUGAUUAUUGUGGAGGCUCUUGCUAUAUGAAUGUAUAGGCAUCCACAGUUGUGGUAAUGAUUGAAAUGAUGUACAUAGAGCAAGUAGCUGUGUACAUGACUACAACCAGCUUUAUGUCUCUUAUCAGUUUGCUUUUCACCUAAGUAGAUCCUGUUUCAAAGAGUGACGUAGCUGUGUAUUGUUGGUAAUGAGGGUGUAUUGGUUUUUAACGAGGACCACAUAAAUAAAGACAGGGACGACAGCCUUUGAGUCGCAAAACAACAAGGGAUAAAGUGGAGCUCGGCGCAGACUAUGGAACCCAGUGGGAUUCACACACUGACAUGCUCACACUUACACACACACACACACACACUUGCCUGUUCAAGUGUGGGAGCAGUUACAAGUGUGCAGAGAGAAGCACAGUGCAAACUCGCCUACGGGUGCUUGCUAAAGAUGUAGUUGAAUUCUCCUGCUGCCAAAUAAGACCCUGUUGGAUGGUUUCUAAACACACACAAACACUAUGUAGCAUUUGGUACAAAACUUGCAACAAAAAAAAAUGUUCAGAAACAUGUGCUCUUAAAAAACAAGUCAAAGUAUGCCUGAGCAUCCCUUGUGAAUAAGGCCUUGUUGGAUUCCUGCGGAGAAUUUACGCCAGUGCCUGAAGCCUGCUUCCAUCAGUCAACACUCCUGUGCACCUGGAAGGUUCAGAGACCCCAUUCACCGCAGCCAUGACCUGUCCCUUGCAAUCGCGCUUUGACUCCUUUCUUCUGCCACGCUUUUCAGAGCACACACCUGGCCCAAACCACAUUUUACGCUUAAAUAAUCAGUUCGUUUGCACCGAUUUAAAUCCCCAAUGCCUGCGCACGAAGCCAGAUGCCCUGAUCAGCUUUUUGAGGACAUUGUUUUAAGUUUUUGCUAGCUUUAGCUUUGCUGCACUACUUUUCUUUUAAACUUGGGUAGGACAUAUUGCUCACAGUGGACUUAUGUGAAAGCAUUUAAGCCUUUCUGAACAAACCAGUAUGCAGACAAAAACACUUUCACACAUGUCCAGGCUUGUAAAGUGGAGGCCAAUCUUUUAAUACCCAAACAUAACUAUACUGAGGGACACUAAUGUGUUAGAUACACAUUGAAGAGCUAUCAAUAGACAUGUCUGUGUGUGUCAUAUGAUCACAAUACACACUGUACUUAACCUGAAACAUCAAAUUGCUCGAAGAUUACAAUAAUCUCAAGUGAAAACAGAAACCGCCGAUAUUUUCAGCCUGACUCGGGACUGAAUUGUAUGUGCUGCCAACUGAAUCUAGCUACUGCUAAUCGCAGAAAAGGUCAGAGUAAAAAUAAGGUGUGGCAGUUUGCCAAGAUGGUGUCUAGUGGCAAGGCUUUAGGUGGCCUUCUUGCCUCUGGGUUAAAUUUACACAUUGCGAUUAAUUGUGGCUUGUUUACUCAGGAUGGAAAGGUGCCGGUAGAGAAUCCUGGGCAUUGCACACCUUCUCCGGCCGCAGUGCUGUGGGCUAUGUCUUUGAGUUUAAUGGGGCCGUGAUAACUAUCAAAUGGACAUGGAUUACACACUAUAUCAUUAUACACACCAUUGAUUUUGCCCUUGCUUUGCCAGACAAGCAAUAUUAUAUGUCCAAAAUGACCUUGCACAGAAAUUCAAGCAGUCCAGGACAGGCUUACCAGUGUGUGUUCUGCGCAUACUAUUGCCAAGCCGUCUGAAACAUCAUUGCGAGACAUUGUAUGUUUUAAAGACUGCAUUGGGGAAAUGAAUAGCACCAUUAACGAAAAGGAAUAAGUGAUGACUUUUGUGAGAGCAAGUGUUUUGACGUUUAAAAAAAAAGCAGUCUUAUGAGCUGCUAGGUUUCGCUUGUCAUCAAAACCAUUCAAUGCCAAGGAUCUCUAGAGUAUGUUAAUUCUUUGGCAGUCACUUAAUUACACUUUUUACUGCUUUUCUGUCACAAGUCAGGGUUAGAAGAGGUUUUCGAGGGGAAGGUAUAGCAUAUGGUUUUGUCUUCAAUCCAAUAAGUUGCACUAAGAACUCUUUGUAAGGAUUUAGGGCUGUGAUUUCUUUUGGUGAGAAUUGUGUCAUUUAAAACCUGAUUCAAUAAAAAAAAAAUUAUCAUUUAUAUUCCAAAAAUAAACAAUAAUACCCAUCUUAAUUUUUAUAGAAAUCCUUAAAAACAGUUUUUAAGACAUUUAUUUAAGAAAAUUAUUUAUUUACUAAAUAGAUAUACGGUCAAAGCAACUACAGUUCAAUGCUUACUGUCUGUGGCACUCGUGUCGAUUGCCAAUAGAUGUACUAGUGUUUGAUGUACCAGUGUACCCUUCUGAAAAACGUACUGUCUCAGCUACACUGGGAGUUCUUCUGACACCGUUUGGGUCUGGUCCAGCUGUGACCAAGAUGUAGGCCUAAUCGAUUUUUUUUGGCUGGUCAAGAAUGAGUAUGGUAACAGUCUCAUGUCCUUCAUGUUGUACUCUAAAGACAAGUGGACACUUAUCAGGUUGCAGAUAUUUGUUGCUUAUGAAGUAUUGGAUCUUGUUGGUAAUUACUGAUAUAAAGUGCAAAUAGAAUAUGUAAACGUUUGGCUAUUUAUUGAUUAUAUGUUAAAAUGACUUACAUAUUUUUUCCAAUAUCUAUGAUGUUGGACUGAUACAAAGGAAUUAGUCAUAUAGGAGAAAAUAAUUUCCCUUAUUUUGGAAUAAGUUAUUUGGAUAAAAUCCUAGCAGUAGGAUUCUGAAGCAAAAGUCUUCCCACAGGAACUCGAGAGAAUGCCUGAUAUAAGUUCCCUUAAGAGAGGACAAAAAGGAGAGGAGGGUGGAUGAUGAUGAUGUGUGUGUGUGUGUGUGUGUGUGUGUGUGUGUGUGUGUGUGUGUGUGUGUGUGUGUUCGGUGGGAGGAGGUGCUCAUGCAGCUAUCCAACCUCAUUUAAAAAAUCGGAACUUCUUUUUCUUAAGUCAGCAUUUCGAAUCAGACCGUGUCUGCACCCAAUUAACGCGCCAUUUUGUUAAAUGCUAAAUUUACAAAUUCGACAUACAGCCCCCUUUUCUCAGUAGAGAUAGGGCCUAGCAUAAGGAAAAAGAAGAGCGGGAAAGAUUUAAGAGCAUUUCGCAGUGUCAAACAUCUAAACUCAUCGGGAAACUUGGCACGAUUAGACCGGGGUGAAGAUGAGGAGGAGGAGAAGGAGGAGGAGGAGGAGGAAAAGGAAGAAGUUGGGGGUGCCAAUGAAAAUGUUCAUGCGGGCGGCCUUAUUUCUCUCUUACAGUAAUGUGGUUAUCGCGGGUGUUGUGGGUGAUCCUUUUAAACGGUUUGUAUGCGGGGAUAAAAAGCGCAUGGAGGAAAUAAACUUAGUUCUGGCUUAAAUCUGCAAAUCCUCACUGGUCAUGGAAGAUGAUCCCAAUUUGCUUCUGAGCAGUGCUGUCAGAUCUCACAAUAAUAAAAAAAUGAAGAUUUGAAGCAGCAAUUAUGUUCAAUUAAUGUUGGAGUGCACAGACUGUGUGACAGCAUGCAGAUGUUUGGGUUCUUGAUCGCUUGUUUCACCUGAUGAAGUGCGUACCCCAUGCAACAGCCAUAAAACAUUGCUUAAUCCUUCCCCAUGUUUACUUAUCAUAUCUGCGGUGCAAUCAUGCCAUAAAGUGAUUAUCACAUUGACUCAAUUGCAUUAAAUUGAAAUUUUCAGACUUGCGUGACAUUUGCCCUAAUUGGAGUUAAUUUGAAUUUGACAUUCUUGUGUCUUGAAGUCACUGAGCAUGUUUUAAGAAGAAAAAUAAAACUGAUUAUAAUUAUGAUUAACAGAUCACGUUAGUUGCCAAUCCUUAUUUUAUCACCUUUAUCACCUUCAUUUCAGCACACUGAUGUACUCUGACUGUUUAUUUAAAAUGCAAGUUUUAGGGUUUUUUUUACAAACUGGACAAUCCAACAGUAAUAAUAAUAAUUUACAAUUGAAAAUAAACUUCAAUUCAACUCAAGGAAAAACAGAUGCCUUUAAAAAUGCUGAAACUGUUAGCUAACUCUCACCUGUUUUUUAAUUGUUUGUGUCAGUGUUGUUAAAUAUUUGUUUUAUUAAGCUUUUGAACACUCAAUGUGGCAGACAACGUACUAUCUGUGAGCAAUAACUAAGAUAUUACAUAACCUGAAUAAACACAUUUGUUGCUUGAGACAAUGCGAAUGGAAAGAAAAGCCGACUUUUUAUCAUCAACUAUAAUGUUAUAGAUGAGAAGCAUUUAUGUUUUUUGUCAUAAAGAUUUCCCCAUUUUAUAUAUUUACAGGAAGGCCAGAAACUUCAAAACUCAGAUGCAUAGUUGUGUAAUUGAUAUAAUGCACCAACAUACCAAAUAGCCUCCUUUAUACUACAAACCUCUGUAAUAAAUAUUAAUAUUUUAAUAUUCUUAAUAAACAAUUUUUAAUAGAAUGAAGAUUAAGUGUUGAAGGUUUCAAGUGGAUUAUAAGUAAUACAUAUUUCUUGGUUAGUUUUAUGUUGAUUGUGGGCCUGAAUAUUCUGUUGAAUUCAAAACUGGACUUCUACCAGGCCAAAAUCUGAUACAUUUGUUCUUUAGCCUCUUUUUGGUGGUGCAUGCAGUGUGGGCAGAAGCGUUGUCUUGUUAAAAAAUAAUAUAUAGAAAUAUAUAUUAGAAAACAACUUUUCAGUUGUGGGAAGCCAGUUAGCCAGUCUUUCUGUAAUAUUCUUCUGUAUUCCAAAUCAUUCAUUGACUUUUAACAGUGAAGCCUUUAAUCAGUCCCCACACCAGAGAAGGCUUCCAACACCAUAACACCUCAUCCUCCAUGCCUAACUGUGGUAAAGAUGCAUUCAUUACUGUAUUUCUCACUAGAUCUCUGAAGACAUCUCUCUGGAGUAUCACCAUACAACUCAUAACGUGAGUCAUCCCUUUACACAACUCUGCUAAACCACUCCAACCUUCUAUAGUCUCAGGUGUGCAUUUGUUUAAUUCUUGGUCAUUUUAUGGAUUAUGAUUGGCUCAGAUUUAGUGUCUAUGACUAUACAUACUGCUAUUUCCAGUGCUUAAUGACAUUAUAGAUUAUUUGUAUUUAAAAUCUGGCAAAAAAAACCUAAAUGGCAAAAUAUUAACUAGUAAAAUUUUUAAGCAAUAAAACAAUAGAACAAUUCAACAUUAAACAUCCAGAUGCAAGGACAUGUCAUGGAAAUACAUUUCGACAGUCACAUUGUUCCUGUGUUGACUAUUGUGUCUACCACUAAGGCAGCUAACAAAUGAAAGGGAGUUUCUCUCUCUCUCUCUCUCUCUCUCUCUCUCUCUCUCUCUCUCUCUCUCUCUCUCUCUCUCUCUCUCUCUCUCUCUCUCUCUCUCUCUCUCUCUCUCUCUCUCUCUCUCUCUCUCACACACACACACACACACACACACACACAAACCACUUUUUCAAUUGAAAAUAAAGUGAAUUAAAUGCUUGGUACUGAUCAGACUGGUUCAUGAUUAUGAUAAGAGUAAAGAUAUAGCAAUGUGAAAGCACAUCCUGUUCCCAUAUAAACGUUUAUUUGCUGCCUACACUAUCAUUACCCAAUCCCACAGAUCCUGAGCAUCCAUGCUGACAGCUCCCCGAUCCUCUCAGUAUCAGAACUCAAUGAUAAACUAUGCCUAAAAAAAAAAGGGAAAUAAAUAUAGAUCAAAUACUUUGACAAGAUUAUCCCAGUGGCACCAUAAGGAACACAACAGCUGUGCUGUGCAGUAACAACAGAGCAGCAGAAACAGCGUCUCACCUAUUAUUUCACGCCAUUUUACCCACAUCCGUCUGAUCAGCAGCACAAACAAACAGGAACACAUGGAGAUAAGGCCACACAGCCAGAGCACAAUGUGGUCUUGUUUGUUUUUCCACGCCGUUGUUUGUCUUCUCCAUAGCCUCAUGUUGAUCUAUUCACUGUGAAAAAAGUUUGCCUCAGACAACGCUGAUGUCAGCUUUCCUCAAACAAUAAGGUGCAUCAGACAAUUUGGCAAAUGUAACAUUAAGUGUAUUGUAGGUAGCUACAGUUAUUAAGCAUUAAUAUUUUUUGUAUCAAUGUAUUAAUAACAUUUAAGAAGCUUUAUUUUUAUUUUAUCUAUAUAAUUGAUUACUGUAUAUAGAAGUGAAUAUUUAAAUAACCAGAUAGGAUAAGGUACUGUAUAUUGCAUUGAGCUUAUUUUUGGAGUAGCUUUAAAACUGUGUCCUGACAUUUGCUCUUUUGGGUAAGGUGAAUGUUUUUAUUAAUUUAUAGUUAACACAGUAACAGCCUGAAUAAAUUCUGAUAAAUUGCACCUUUCUGAAAAAUGUGUGUGUGUGUGUUACAAUUUCCCAUAUAAAAAUUUAUAAAACUUGUCUAAAAAACCUAUCGAAGUAAUGUUUUAUAUAAUUUUUGGAAGGGAAGUCCAAACCUGUUUUUUUUUUAAUUGACACACACAUCAGGAAGUUUCCAACGGUUCUUGUUGUGAGUUUCGUACCACUUUACACUCUUGCACUCACUUCCACACUAGGAUUAUGUGGUAUGAACCAUGGCUCUGAUUUAGAGGACCAGUGGCAUACAGUGGCAUACAGUCUAUUUUAAUACUGAAAAUAGACAUAUCAUGUAAAAAUAAAUAAAAUAAAGUACUGCACAUAAAAUUUUACUUCACUAUGUAAAGUAAAGCAAAGUUUCUGGA